GGAAAUUCUUAAAGGUGUGCCUAAAUUUGCACCUCGGAGCCCAUGAAUUUUAGCUUGCUCCUCUGAUUUAGCGGCGGACGGGUGAGUAACACGUGGGCAACCUGCCCUGCAGACUGGGAUAACUUCGGGAAACCGGAGCUAAUACCGGAUAAUCCAUUUUACUUCAUGGUGAAAUGUUGAAAGGCGCUUUCGCGCCACUGCAGGAUGGGCCCGCGGUGCAUUAGCUAGUUGGUGGGGUAACGGCCUACCAAGGCGACGAUGCAUAGCCGACCUGAGAGGGUGAUCGGCCACAUUGGGACUGAACACGGCCCAAACUCCUACGGGAGGCAGCAGUAGGGAAUCUUCCACAAUGGACAAAGUCUGAUGGAGCAACGCCGCGUGAUGAUGAAGGUUUUCGGAUCGAAAACUCUGUUGUAAGGGAAGAACAAGUACUUAGGAAAUGAACUACCUUGACGGUACCUUAUUAAAAGCCACGGCUAACUACGUGCCCCCAAAUACUUGGUGGCAAGCGUUGUCCGGAUUUAUUGGGUAAAGCGCG
RNAcentral lists this ribosomal RNA (538 nucleotides) under Bacillus sp. HPC 642. Its description in RNAcentral is "bacterial SSU rRNA". It matches the Rfam family "Bacterial small subunit ribosomal RNA", at positions 26 to 569 of the family's 1533-position model. Lineage: Bacteria; Bacillati; Bacillota; Bacilli; Caryophanales; Bacillaceae. The record is from RNAcentral.